ACCAGAACAAGAAAAAGAAGAAGAAGAAAAACCAGAACACGAAAAAGAACAAAAGGGAGAAAACGAAGGAGUGGAGAAUCCUAUUUCCGCUUCAGAGAGAAACAGUGAAAAUAAAGCCAACAAACGCGAUAAGCAUCUCCGCAAAAGAUGUUUUAUGGCGAGGUGUAACAGACGACGUGCAUCUCGCAAUACGAGGAAAAGAUCUCUAAAUACAAAACCAGAAUUUAUUUACGAUGACUGAUUGAAUGAGGGAACCGGCGAUGAAUUGUCCCACGCGAAAUUCAACAAGUGAAGAAUGAAAGUCAACGCAAGAAGACGAUAAAGACCCUUAGCGAUGGCACAGAUUAAUGAUAAAAGCUAAAGACGUGUACUGAUAAAAUAAAAUAGCCAUUAAAACAUAUAUCCUGAAUAAAAGAAAUGAAAACGA
Long non-coding RNA from Actinia tenebrosa (Australian red waratah sea anemone), 427 nucleotides. The record is from RefSeq and is a predicted model, not a curated record. Lineage: Eukaryota; Metazoa; Cnidaria; Anthozoa; Actiniaria; Actiniidae.